CACUCAUCAAGCUGUUUAAUGGGGUUUUUAAUCUCACUGCUGUCUAGGAAAAACAGUUGAGAUGUAAGAGAGGCUUUGUCUGUUAUUUGGUGACUCUAUGAUUGGUGGAUUUCCCCCCUAAGGAUCAUGGGUAUUGUAGUUCUUCUCAAGGAAUUCCACUAUUAAACAUGAUUUUUGAAAAAUGAAACUGAAGAAAUGCAGACUGCUUCAACAGGAGCAUAUUCCAUCGAUUAACAACCUUGGAGCUCAUGAAUUCCUAUCCUGAGGUGACUAGAACCGGCCAGAUCUAGCUCUGUUCCUGUUUGGUGUCAGACUCCACUGCUACGUGUCACUGAGUGAUGAUGACUAAAUGCAGCCGGUGCCAGCCAGACAUCACUUCAGUCUAUUACGAUGGACUUCAUAGGAUGAACUGAUGCCAGCUCCAACCAUAAGAUAUGGGAUACUUCAUAUGCCACUGCUUGAACCUUGGACUUAAGAUAGACCUCACCAAAAUGACCGGCCGGUUGAACUGCGAUGCACCUCACUCAUCUCUGCCUGCAAAACCUUGGUCUAAAGAUGGACUACUCUCCUGAAAUGGAAUAAAUAGACAAUUAAUUAAUUGCCAGCAAAAGCCUUCAUCAGCCAACUAACAAAGGACAAUGCAUCUAUGUAAACUUCUGCAGUUAAUCCAGAAUGGACUUCAAAGAUAUUAGUCAUUAAUCUUACAGUUCAUACAAAAUCUUUGUUUAAACAAAUGGCCCUUUAAACUUACUUAGUUUACUAAUUUUAAACCAUGACUUGCACUGCACAUAAAUAUUGGCAUUAUAUUCAUGCUGUUAGCCAGAGGGGAACUGGCCCCCACAAUGAGCCUGAUUUCUCCCAAGGUUAUUUUUCUCCAUUAACAUCUUAUGGAGUUUUGUGUUCCUUGCCACAGUUGCCUCUGGCUUGCUCACUGGGGUUCUAAAUACAAUUAUUAUUUAAUUAUUUAUUUAUAUACACAAUUUACAAUUACACAAUGAUGACUCUAAAACUUUAUAGAUAUAACAGUUUCAUUUUCUGUUAAUGCAUGAAGCUGCUUUGAAACAGUGUGUGUUGUGAAAAGCGCUAUACAAAUAAAAAUGACAACUUUCAUUUCAGAAAGGAGCUUACUGCAAACACCCUGGAAUAAACCUUUUUUUUUUUUAAGUGCAUGUAAACGUGACCAAUGUCUAACCUCUAAAAUUGUCUUUAUCCAUUGCCAUUUGUUUUGUAUUUAUUUUUUUAUCCUCAGGCAUAUAAUAAAAGAUCCAAAAAGUGGAGCAAUGAAGCAAUUGCCAUCCAACUAUCUGUUGAUAAUUUGACCACUAGUCCAAACAGCCAGACUGAAACUCAACCCAUGAAGCCACGUGUGAAGUCUAGGCCUCAAAGGGCACUUCUGUUAGAGGUUAGGAGGUUAUUAAACUAUGAAUGUUCCCUAUUGCUCCUCAGAGGGUUUUUAAAAUGCUUUAAAGUGCGAAUUUCAUAUAUGCACCUGCAUACAGGCACCAUCAUAGGGUCACUUCCUUCCUCAGUAUAUGUACAAGCCCUUGUUCCUCAAAAAAGAAGGAAAACCAGAACCUUCAUAUAAGGGGUUUGACUUACAUACACACUGCAGCUAAAUACGAUUGCCACUCCUCUUUUGAGUGCUUAAUCCCGUUCUUUAAACACAGAGUUUGGCUUAACUGGCUUAACUUCAUUUUUGGUGAUUUACGGGAGUGACAGCCAACUUAAAGCGUACCAGCCUAAUUUUUCCGAAGUCAGACUUACAGACCUAGGUAAUGCAAUUAUAGUUCAGCUUCAUCUUGCAUGUAUACACAUUAAUCAGACCACAAUUGGCCUCGGCAUUGUGGGCAUGCUUGUAAAGACAAAGGUGAUGCGUGACAUAGAUUAACUUUCUUAAAUGCAUGGACAGACAAAAAACAAGGAAUGGCGAAGACAUCUGUGGCAGCGGGGGCUUGGUCAAGCAUCUCACCGGAGAGAGAGAAAGCGGUAAGGGUGCUUACACCUGAGCUAAAUUAUGUCUAACACCUGUCUCUAAUUUCAGUGAGCACGGGGAGAGCGGCAUAAAUAGAGCCACACAGCACUUAGACGGGGGAGAGCCUGGGCAUGGACUAUGAAGUUAGAAGUUACUACGAUUACAAAUCUGAGAGUUUAUUGUGUAAGCUAGUUUGUGGAUUUUUUUAGACUGUGGUUUCCAACAACGUAAAGCCCUGAGAGUGUGUAUGUGCUGCAGUAAGGAAAAUAAAAACGCCUACCUGAACCAGGAAAUCUGCUUCUCGCCUCAUCCUUCCACUGAGAAGUGUCACAACAUCAAAAUAGCUAGAAGAUGUGGACUUUAUUUAAAGCCCUGAACAGA
Long non-coding RNA from Myxocyprinus asiaticus (Chinese sucker), 2353 nucleotides. RefSeq lists it as uncharacterized. The record is from RefSeq and is a predicted model, not a curated record. The transcript is spliced from 3 exons. NCBI's taxonomy places the organism in Eukaryota, Metazoa, Chordata, Actinopteri, Cypriniformes, Catostomidae.